Triticum dicoccoides is the source of this 753-nucleotide RNA transcript. RefSeq lists it as uncharacterized. The transcript has 3 exons. The record is from RefSeq and is a predicted model, not a curated record. NCBI's taxonomy places the organism in Eukaryota, Viridiplantae, Streptophyta, Magnoliopsida, Poales, Poaceae.
UCCUCUCCCUCGCCCAUGAAGUCAUCGCCGCCCAUGCCGGCUGCUUCCGGCGACCUCCGGCGCAGAGCGGCACGCCCCAAGCUGCCCACGGUCCGCGCCUCCCUCCCCUCCAUCCAGACUCUCUGCUCCCGGCCUCUACAGCCCGCUCGCAACCACACACCCAUGGCUAGGGUUCGGGCAUGGCUUCGCCGGCGCGUCUCCGAUGUUGGGGCACGCCAUGGGAGUUCCCCAUCCACCACGGUCGCCGCCGUCAAGGAAUUCUUCAAGGAGAUGUCAAGGACACCAUGGACAUGCAGCUCCUCAAGAUCAAUUAAGGAAUCAAUCUCAUGAUGGUUGAUGCUUGAUGCAGCGGAGGAUCACAGAUUCACAGAUGUAAGGAUCGGGAGAAUUGGGCCUCACAUUAUUUUUUCCAGAAUUGGGUGUUGGUACUCUAUAAACUGAAUUGAGUGAGCUAAAUCUGUGCCUCAAAAUUGUAGUCUGUAGCUUUAUGUGUUACGUCUUAAGAUUGAACUAGAAGAUUGCCUUUGGGAGUAGUUUUAGUUGGUAGAUGUUUCAGGCUCCAAAUACACACACAUUAUGUGCUUAAUGUGUGGCAUAAACAUUAUCAAUUUUAUGCUUAGAAACCAAAUCACUGUCCACCCAUUUUAUUUCUUCAUGAGUAUUUUGUGUUGAAAUCAGAUCACCGUUCACCUGUUCUCGUACUGUUGUCUUUAACUUAUUUUGCGGAUUCUUAAUAAAAUGCUCAGUUCAGGA